AUGGGUUUUAAGAGGUGCCCAGAAGAUCCUUUCAGGGUUUCCAAAAGGUUCCCAGAAGGUUCCUGGAACUUCUCCAGAAGAUCCCCAGAUGCUUCCCAGAAGCUCCCUCUGAGGAGUUCUCCAGAAAUGUCCCAGAAGGUUCCCAGAAGUUCCUUAGAUGUUCUCCCAAAGACCUCCAGGUCUCCAGAGGUUCUCCUGAAGUUCUCCAGAAGAUCCCCAGAAGUUCUCCAGAAGUUCUCCAGAAACGUUCCAGAAGGUUUCCAGAAGUUCUCCAGGAGUUCCUUAGAUGUUCUCCCGAAGACCUCCAGGUCUCCAGAAGUUCUCCAGAAGUUCCCCACAAGUUCCCCAGACGUUCUCCAGGAGUUCCUUAGAUGUUCUCCUGAAGACCUCCAGGUCUCCAGAAGUUCUCCUGAAUUUCUCCAUAAGUUCUCCAAAAGUUCUCCAGAAAUGUUCCAGAAGCUUCCCAGAAGUUCCUUAGAUGCUCUCCAGGACAUCUCCAGGUCUCCACAAGUUCUCCUCAAGUUCUUCUCAAGUUCUCCUCAACUUCUCCUAAAGUUCUCCACAAGUUCUCCAGAAGUUCUCCUCAAGUUCUCCUCAAGUUCUCCUCAGGUUCUCCUCAAGUUCUCCUCAAGUUCCCCACAAGUUCUCCUCAAGUUCUCCUCAAGUUCUCCUCAGGUUCUCCUCAAGUUCUCCACAAGUUCUCCACAAGUUCUCCACAAGUUCUCCACAAGUUCUCCUCAAGUUCUCCUCAGGUUCUCCACAAGUUCUCCUCAAGUUCUCCACAAGUUCUCCACAAGUUCCCCUCAAGUUCUCCACAAGUUCUCCUCAAGUUCUCCUCACCACCACCACCACCCAUCCCACCUCCCUCCCUCCUCCUCCAGCCCUUCCCCAACCCCAGGAGCUCCAGGAUGGCCCUGGUGGGAGGUGACCUCAUUGUCCCCUGGUUGUCCCCAGGUUGUCCCCAGGUUGUCCCCAGGUUGUCCCCCCUGGCCAAGGCCACCCCAGGUCCCGGUACCUUCUUGGCCCCGGUCAGCGCCGCCUUCUGCAGUUUGUUGUAGCAGUACUUGGCGUAGGUGCUGAUGGCCACCCCUGCAGGAGAAGACACGGUGGGUGGUGGGAUGUCACCUCCAGGCCGGUGGGAUGUCACCUCCAGGGUGGUGGGAUGUCACCUCCAGGACCUUAAGGAGCUCCCCCCGUCCCCUCCCCAUGGUCCUUCUCCAUCCCCAUCCUUUGUCCUCCUCAAACCUCUCAAGAACCUUGGAGGAACCACCCGAGGUGGAGCUCUGGAGCUCCGUGGAGGCUCCAUCUCAGGUGGCUUUUGGAGGCUCCAUCUCGGGUGGCUUUUGGAGGCUCCAUCUCGGGUGGCUUUUGGAGGCCACCACUGCCACGGUCACCACUCCCACCCCCUCUGUCUUCUCCAGGUCCCACCACUUCCAUCUUCUCACCCCAUCUCCUGUUCCUGAUGUUCUCCAGUGAGGAGAUGGCGCCGAUCCCACCAACCCUGGAGACCUGAGAGGACCUUCUGGAAAAUCCCACCAACCCUGGAGACCUGAGAGGACCUUCUGGACCAUCCCAGGAGAAGCUCUGGGGACCUGGUGGGACCUUCUGGACCAUCCCAGAGCCUUGGAGAUCUGGUGGAACUUUCUGGACCAUCCAAGGAGAAGCUCUGGGGACCUGGUGGGACCUUCUGGAGCAUCCCAGAGCCUUGGGGAUCUGGUGGGACCUUCUGGACCAACCCUUGGUGGGACCUGGUGGGACCUUCUGGACCAUCCCAGGAGAAGCUCUGGGGACCUGGUGGGACCUUCUGGACCAUCCCAGGAGAAGCUCUGGGGACCUGGUGGGACCUUCUGGAAAAUCCCAACAGCCCUGAGAACCUGGUGGGACCUCCUGGACCAACCCUUGGUGGGACUUGAUGGAACCUUCUGGACCAUUCCAGGAGAAACUCUGGGGACCUGGUGGGACCUUCUGGACCAUCCCAGGAGAAGCUCUGGGGACCUGGUGGGACCUUCUGGAAAAUCCCAACAGCCCUGAGAACACCAACACCAAUGCAACACCAAUGCCCAUAGUGCUGACGCUAAUAUUAAUUCUAAUAAUAUUAAUAUUAUUAAAUAAAUGACACCAAGUCCACCUGACCA
RNAcentral lists this long non-coding RNA (2135 nucleotides) under Zonotrichia albicollis (white-throated sparrow). Its description in RNAcentral is "lncRNA (ENSZALG00000007635.1)". The record is from RNAcentral. Lineage: Eukaryota; Metazoa; Chordata; Aves; Passeriformes; Passerellidae.